CUCACUUCCUAACCUUGUGCAAGAAUUUGACUAAUAUGGUUCCCUCUUUAACUUACUCAUCAAUUACAAAAAGUCCACUAUUUUGAAUGUUUUCUCUAGAUGACCAAUGUGCCGACCCGAUCCACCAAUCCUUUCUAUUUCACUGGUCUGCAAAAUCUCUCAGGUACCUGGGAUCUGCAUGACUCCCAAAUUGAGUCAGCUGUAUUCACAAAACAUUUUACCCAUGCUUUGUAAAUUUAGGCAAAAUCUGGAAGAUUGUUUUAAAUAUGUUUAUUGUCAGCAAUAUAAACACGAGUGUUGAACUUGGUAUCGUUGAUGCAUAUAGUUGCCUACGCAGAGGCGUGCACAUUGAAAGUGUAUAUAAUGUGAGGCCGACAUAUUCCAGUUAACUCAAAGUAACACAUAGUUGCCUGCGCAGAGGCAUAUAGGUCAAAAUAAACAUGCAAUGACAAAUAUUAGACAUUUAUAAGCCUUGCAG
Pelobates cultripes (western spadefoot toad) is the source of this 478-nucleotide non-coding RNA. The record is from the annotation of a GenBank genome assembly. NCBI's taxonomy places the organism in Eukaryota, Metazoa, Chordata, Amphibia, Anura, Pelobatidae.